UAUCUCUGUAGAGUCUGCAUAUCAAUAAGCGGAGGAAAAGAAACUAACAAGGAUUCCCCUAGUAACGGCGAGUGAAGCGGGAAGAGCUCAAAUUUGAAAUCUUCAAGGUUCUACCUUGACGAAUUGUAGUUUAUAAGAAGUGUUUUCUGUUAGAUGAGUAGCAAAAGUUCCUUUGGAAUAGGGACAUCAUAGAGGGUGAGAAUCCCGUAUUUGGUCAUUCCUCCUAGCUUUGUGAUACACUUUCAACGAGUCGGAUUGUUUGGGAAUGCAGUCCAAAAUGGGUGGUAAAUUUCAUCUAAAGCUAAAUAUUGGCGAGAGACCGAUAGCGAACAAGUACCGUGAGGGAAAGAUGAAAAGAACUUUGAAAAGAGAGUUAAACAGUACGUGAAAUUGUCAAAAGGGAAGCGUUUGACACCAGUGUUGUUUUUCCGAAAAUCAAUUAAAAAUAUGAUUCAUGCUCAGGUUAGUAUUGACCUUAUCAGCUUGCAUGUUAGUUUUGGGUCAUCUUUUUGAUGCACUUUUCGGUUAACAAGUCAACAUCAACUUCCUUUGCUGUAAAAAGGUAAGAGGAAGGUGGCUUCAAUUUCGGUUGAAGUGUUUAUAGCCUUUUAUCUCUGCAGUCGGGGAGAUUGAGGUCUGCAGCGUAGAUCCUUCGGGGCUAGAUACAUUUAUGCUAAGUUAUAGCUUUUCAUAGACAACUUGUUGACUAUGUUUAGUCAUGUAGCUUACUCGUAAGUGCUAUUUUACCUACGCUUAGGAUGUUGAGCGCAUGUCUCUCUCU
RNAcentral lists this ribosomal RNA (781 nucleotides) under uncultured Neocallimastigales. RNAcentral's name for it is "partial large subunit ribosomal RNA". It matches the Rfam family "Eukaryotic large subunit ribosomal RNA", at positions 24 to 642 of the family's 3401-position model. Lineage: Eukaryota; Fungi; Neocallimastigomycota; Neocallimastigomycetes; Neocallimastigales. The record is from RNAcentral.